RNAcentral lists this ribosomal RNA (253 nucleotides) under uncultured bacterium. Its description in RNAcentral is "partial 16S ribosomal RNA". It matches the Rfam family "Bacterial small subunit ribosomal RNA", at positions 524 to 776 of the family's 1533-position model. The record is from RNAcentral.
UACGUAGGGUGCGAGCGUUGUCCGGAAUUAUUGGGCGUAAAGGGCUCGUAGGCGGUUUGUCGCGUCGGGAGUGAAAACACACAGCUUAACUGUGUGCUUGCUUCCGAUACGGGCAGACUAGAGGUAUGCAGGGGAGAACGGAAUUCCUGGUGUAGCGGUGAAAUGCGCAGAUAUCAGGAGGAACACCGGUGGCGAAGGCGGUUCUCUGGGCAUGUCCUGACGCUGAGGAGCGAAAGUGUGGGGAGCGAACAGG